Molecule: ribosomal RNA, 254 nt
Filed under: uncultured bacterium
Lineage: Bacteria
Description: partial 16S ribosomal RNA
Rfam family: Bacterial small subunit ribosomal RNA
Source: RNAcentral
CACGUAGGGGCCAAGCGUUGUCCGGAAUUAUUGGGCGUAAAGAGCUCGUAGGCGGUUGGGUAAGUUGGGUGUGAAAACUCUGGGCUCAACCCAGAGCCGCCACCCAAUACUGCUCUGACUUGAGUCCGGUAGGGGAGCGGGGAAUUCCUGGUGUAGCGGUGAAAUGCGCAGAUAUCAGGAGGAACACCGGUGGCGAAGGCGCCGCUCUGGGCCGGUACUGACGAUGAGGAGCGAAAGCGUGGGUAGCAAACAGG